This 77-nucleotide transfer RNA is filed under the name Puniceicoccales bacterium. RNAcentral's name for it is "tRNA-Val". It matches the Rfam family "tRNA". From Rfam's summary of the family: Transfer RNA (tRNA) molecules are approximately 80 nucleotides in length. Their secondary structure includes four short double-helical elements and three loops (D, anti-codon, and T loops). Further hydrogen bonds mediate the characteristic L-shaped molecular structure. tRNAs have two regions of fundamental functional importance: the anti-codon, which is responsible for specific mRNA codon recognition, and the 3' end, to which the tRNAs corresponding amino acid is attached (by aminoacyl-tRNA synthetases). tRNAs cope with the degeneracy of the genetic code in two manners: having more than one tRNA (with a specific anti-codon) for a particular amino acid; and 'wobble' base-pairing, i.e. permitting non-standard base-pairing at the 3rd anti-codon position. The record is from RNAcentral. Lineage: Bacteria; Pseudomonadati; Verrucomicrobiota; Opitutia; Puniceicoccales.
GGGGGUAUAGCUCAGUUGGUUAGAGCGUCUGCUUGACAUGCAGAAGGUCGCAGAUUCGAAUUCUGCUACUCCCACCA